AUCGCUUCUUGGCCUUUUGGCCAAGAUCAAGGGUAGUAUCUAGUUUGAUCAGUUUGGCAUCUGAUACGUCCUCUAUCCAAGGACAACAAAUAAUGGAAUCUUGGAGCAGGAAAAUGGACUGGGGGCUCACUCCAUCGCAUCAACCACACAUCGACCCUGUUAUCGUAGUACUCCAGGAAUGGUGCUCUCCCU
Small nuclear RNA from Molossus molossus (Pallas's mastiff bat), 192 nucleotides. RefSeq annotates it as U2 spliceosomal RNA. NCBI's taxonomy places the organism in Eukaryota, Metazoa, Chordata, Mammalia, Chiroptera, Molossidae. The transcript has a single exon. The record is from RefSeq and is a predicted model, not a curated record.